AUUGAACGCUGGCGGCAUGCUUUACACAUGCAAGUCGAACGGCAGCGCGGGCUUCGGCCUGGCGGCGAGUGGCGAACGGGUGAGUAAUGCAUCGGAACGUGCCCAGUAGUGGGGGAUAGCCCGGCGAAAGCCGGAUUAAUACCGCAUACGACCUGAGGGUGAAAGCGGGGGACCGAAAGGCCUCGCGCCAUUGGAGCGGCCGAUGUCGGAUUAGCUAGUUGGGGGGGUAAAGGCUUACCAAGGCGACGAUCCGUAGCUGGUCUGAGAGGACGACCAGCCACACUGGGACUGAGACACGGCCCAGACUCCUACGGGAGGCAGCAGUGGGGAAUUUUGGACAAUGGGGGCAACCCUGAUCCAGCCAUGCCGCGUGCGGGAAGAAGGCCUUCGGGUUGUAAACCGCUUUUGUUCGGGAAGAAAUCCUCUGGGCUAAUACCCCGGGGGGAUGACGGUACCGGAAGAAUAAGCACCGGCUAACUACGUG
RNAcentral lists this ribosomal RNA (484 nucleotides) under uncultured bacterium. RNAcentral describes it as "partial 16S ribosomal RNA". It matches the Rfam family "Bacterial small subunit ribosomal RNA", at positions 28 to 507 of the family's 1533-position model. The record is from RNAcentral.